RNAcentral lists this ribosomal RNA (457 nucleotides) under uncultured Gammaproteobacteria bacterium. RNAcentral's name for it is "partial 16S ribosomal RNA". The record is from RNAcentral. Lineage: Bacteria; Pseudomonadati; Pseudomonadota; Gammaproteobacteria.
AAACGUUAGCUGCGCACUGAAAGACAUUGUCUCCCAACAGCUAGUUGUCAUCGUUUACGGCGUGGACUACCAGGGUAUCUAAUCCUGUUCGCUACCCACGCUUUCGCACCUCAGUGUCAGUACAGAUCCAGGAGGCCGCCUUCGCCACUGGUAUUCUUCAUAAUAUCUACGCAUUCCACCGCUACACUAUGAAUUCUACCUCCCUCUAUCGUACUCUAGUGAGUUAGUUUUGGAUGCAGUUCCUAGGUUGAGCCCAGGGCUUUCACAUCCAACUUAACAAACCACCUACGCGCGCUUUACGCCCAGUAAUUCCGAUUAACGCUUGCACCUUCCGUAUUACCGCGGCUGCUGGCACGGAAUUAGCCGGUGCUUAUUCUGCAGGUAACAUCAAGGUUAUAAGGUAUUAACUUAUAACUUUUUCUCCCUGCUUAAAGUGCUUUACAACCCGAAGGCCUUC